This 680-nucleotide ribosomal RNA is filed under the name Dinophysis fortii. RNAcentral's name for it is "LSU rRNA". It matches the Rfam family "Eukaryotic large subunit ribosomal RNA", at positions 60 to 653 of the family's 3401-position model. The record is from RNAcentral. Lineage: Eukaryota; Dinophyceae; Dinophysales; Dinophysaceae.
AGAAACUAAACAGGAUCCCCAUAGUAAUGGCGAAUGAACCGGGAUAAACUCAGCAUGGAAAUUGGGGCCUUUGGCUUUGACUUGUAAUCUGGUGAGGCAUUGCCAACAGAGGCGCAUAUGUAAGUCUCUUGGAAAAGAGCAUCAACGAAGGUGAGAGUCCUGAUUGUCAUGUGCAGCCCCCCUGUGCACGGUGUGCCUUCUAAGAGUCACGUUCCUUGGGAUUGGAGCGCAAAUUGGGUGGUAACUUUCAUCUGAAGUUAAACAAUGGUUUGGGACCGAUAGGAAACAAGUACCAUGAGGGAAAGGUGAAAAGGACUUUGGAAAGAGAGUUAAAAGUGCCUGAAAUUGCUGAAGGGGAAGCGAAUGGAACCAGUAGUGCUGGGUGAGAUUGUCACAUGCUACAAGGAUUGGUUGCUGCCACAACGCAAGUGUGAUGGCGAUGUGUGAAUUGCUAGUGUGUGGUGUGUCUUACCUAGUGGGUCAUUGUGGGUUUAUGCAUUAAGAUAAGUCAAAGCAAGCGGGAGCAAGUUUACGAGUUUGUGAAUGUGUGUUGUUAUGCUUGUGCGUAAGCUUUAGUGUUUGUCUGGCUGCAGGGCUGUCCAUCCUCAAGCAGGACUUGUGGUUGCGAUGAGCAUAACCUUCUGCACAGAUCUUGACGAAAUGGUUUCAUUCGACCGCUC